GAUGAAGAACGUAGUGAAAUGCGAUAAGUAAUGUGAAUUGCAGAAUUCAGUGAAUCAUCGAGUCUUUGAACGCACAUUGCGCCCCCUGGUAUUCCGGGGGGCAUGCCUGUCCGAGCGUCAUUGCUGCCCUCAAGCCCGGCUUGUGUGUUGGGUCUCGUCCCCCUUCCCGGGGGGACGGGCCCGAAAGGCAGCGGCGGCACCGUGUCCGGUCCUCGAGCGUAUGGGGCUCUGUCACCCGCUCUGUAGGCCCGGCCGGCGCUUGCCGAUCAACCAAAACUUUUUUCCAGGUUGACCUCGGAUCAGGUAGGGAUACCCGCUGAACUUAAGCAUAUCAAUAAGCGGAGGA
This 346-nucleotide unclassified non-coding RNA is filed under the name soil metagenome. Its description in RNAcentral is "partial contains 5.8S ribosomal RNA, internal transcribed spacer 2, and large subunit ribosomal RNA". The stretch from base 1 to 120 matches the Rfam family "5.8S ribosomal RNA", at positions 35 to 154 of the family's 154-position model. The record is from RNAcentral.